Molecule: ribosomal RNA, 441 nt
Filed under: uncultured bacterium
Lineage: Bacteria
Description: partial 16S ribosomal RNA
Rfam family: Bacterial small subunit ribosomal RNA
Source: RNAcentral
CCUACGGGUGGCUGCAGUGGGGGAUAUUGCACAAUGGGGGAAACCCUGAUGCAGCGAAGCCGCGUGAGUGAAGAAGUUUUUCGGUAUGUAAAGCCCCAUCAGCCGGGAAGCAAAAACACGGUACCUGACUCAGAAGCCCCGGCUAACCACGGGCCAGCAGGCUCGGUAAUACGUAGGGGGCAAGCGAUAACCGGAUUUACUGGGUGUAAAGGGAGCGUAGAGGGCAAUACAAGUCGGAAGUGAAAUACCCGGGCUCAACCUGGGGACCGCUGUGGAAACUGUAUGGCUGGAGUGCUGGAGAGGUAAGCGGAAUGCGUGGUGUAGCGGUGAAAUGCGUAGAUAUUAGGAGGAACACCAGUGGCGAAGGCGGCAUGCUGGACAGUAACUGACGUUGAGGCUCGAAAGCGUGGGGAGCGAACAGGAUUAGAUACCCCGGUAGUC